UACGUAGGGUGCGAGCGUUAAUCGGAAUUACUGGGCGUAAAGCGUGCGCAGGCGGUUAUUUAAGUCAGGUGUGAAAGCCCUGGGCUUAACCUAGGAAUUGCGCUUGAGACUGGAUAGCUUGGAGUGCGGCAGAGGGAGGUGGAAUUCCGACGUGUAGCAGUGAAAUGCGUAGAGAUGUGGAGGAACACCGAUGGCGGAAGGCAGCCUCCUGGGCCAGCACUGACGCUCAUGCACGAAAGCGUGGGGAGCAAACAGG
This 256-nucleotide ribosomal RNA is filed under the name uncultured bacterium. RNAcentral's name for it is "partial 16S ribosomal RNA". It matches the Rfam family "Bacterial small subunit ribosomal RNA", at positions 524 to 776 of the family's 1533-position model. The record is from RNAcentral.